Molecule: ribosomal RNA, 475 nt
Filed under: uncultured organism
Description: partial 16S ribosomal RNA
Rfam family: Bacterial small subunit ribosomal RNA
Source: RNAcentral
ACACUCCUGCGGGAGGCAGCAGUGGGGAAUUUUGGACAAUGGGCGAAAGCCUGAUCCAGCAAUGCCGCGUGAGUGAAGAAGGCCUUCGGGUUGUAAAGCUCUUUUGUCAGGGAAGAAACGGUGAGAGCUAAUAUCUCUUGCUAAUGACGGUACCUGAAGAAUAAGCACCGGCUAACUACGUGCCAGCAGCCGCGGUAAUACGUAGGGUGCAAGCGUUAAUCGGAAUUACUGGGCGUAAAGCGUGCGCAGGCGGUUUUGUAAGUCUGAUGUGAAAUCCCCGGGCUCAACCUGGGAAUUGCAUUGGAGACUGCAAGGCUAGAAUCUGGCAGAGGGGGGUAGAAUUCCACGUGUAGUAGUGAAAUGCGUAGAUAUGUGGAGGAACACCGAUGGCGAAGGCAGCCCCCUGGGUCAAGAUUGACGCUCAUGCACGAAAGCGUGGGGAGCAAACAGGAUUAGAAACCCUUGUAGUCCCAUG